Molecule: long non-coding RNA, 545 nt
Filed under: Androctonus crassicauda
Lineage: Eukaryota; Metazoa; Arthropoda; Arachnida; Scorpiones; Buthidae
Source: RNAcentral
UGGAAAAAAAGGAAGUAGAAUCAGUGAGAAUGACAAAAGAUGGAAGAAUAUCCACAGUUGAGUUUCUUUUUCAAAAAUCUGUUCCUUGUCUUGCAAUGAAUAUAUCAACAGUUAUCCACUCUGUGGCAAAUAAAAGCUUUUGGUUUCUUGUUAAGAUGUUCCCCUUCAUGCUGUUGAUGAUUUUUGGCAUUGCUGGCUUUCCAUCAGUGUUUCACAGUUGCCAGAUUCCUAAUCUGGGAAUAUAUCCCUUAAAAAUAUAGAAGAAAUGAAAAUAUAGAGAAGUUGAAAUAUAGAAGGAAAAAUGGAUUAAAAUUAUGGAAAUGAAGAUACUGAAAAGAAGUAAAGUUUGUUUACCAUAAAGACAGGGAUGGGAUCUCUUCCACCUGUAUCUCCCCAUAUCUGUCAACAACAGAAAAGCAAUUCCUGAGAUAAAUUCGAAAUCUUUUCCAAAGAUGAUAUAAAGAAAUGUACAUACAAGAAAUUUUCAUUGAGAAGAUUUGAAUUUGAAAUCUUAUCAUCAUCAUAUGCUUUGAUUUUAAUUCCUC